This 73-nucleotide transfer RNA is filed under the name Roseateles depolymerans. Its description in RNAcentral is "tRNA-Arg". It matches the Rfam family "tRNA". From Rfam's summary of the family: Transfer RNA (tRNA) molecules are approximately 80 nucleotides in length. The record is from RNAcentral. Lineage: Bacteria; Pseudomonadati; Pseudomonadota; Betaproteobacteria; Burkholderiales; Sphaerotilaceae.
CUGGAUAGCUCAGUCGGGUAGAGCAACGGUACGCGGUGCCGUGUGUCGUGGGUUCGACUCCCACUCCAAACCU